CCCCUAGUAACUGCGAGUGAAGCGGGAAAAGCUCAAAUUUAAAAUCUGGCGGUCUUUGGCUGUCCGAGUUGUAAUCUAGAGAAGUGAUGCCCGUGCUGGACCGUGUACAAGUCUCCUGGGAUGGAGCGUCAUAGAGGGUGAGAAUCCCGUCUCUGACACGGACUACCAGUGCUUUGUGGUACGCUCUCAACGAGUCGAGUUGUUUGGGAAUGCAGCUCAAAAUGGGUGGUAAAUUCCAUCUAAAGCUAAAUAUUGGCGAGAGACCGAUAGCGAACAAGUACCGUGAGGGAAAGAUGAAAAGAACUUUGGAAAGAGAGUUAAACAGUACGUGAAAUUGCUGAAAGGGAAACGCUUGAAGUCAGUCGCGUCGGCCGGGGAUCAGCCUUGCUUUAGCUUGGUGUACUUUCCGGUUGACGGGUCAGCAUCAAUUUUGACCGCUGGAAAAAGGCAUGGGGAAUGUGGCAGCUCCGGCUGUGUUAUAGCUUCAUGUCACAUACAGCGGUUGGGAUUGAGGAACUCAGCACGCCGCAAGGCCGGGUUUYGACCACGUUCGUGCUUAGGAUGCUGGCAUAAUGGCUUUAAGCGACCCGUCUUGAAACACGGACCAAGGAGUCUAACAUGCCUGCGAGUGUUUGGGUGGUAAACCCGAGCGCGUAAUGAAAGUGAAAGUUGAGAUCCCUGUCGCGGGGAGCAUCGACGCCCGGACCAGAACUUUUGGGACGGAUCCGCGGUAGAGCAUGUAUGUUGGGACCCGAAAGAUGGUGAACUAUGCCUGAAUAGGGUGAAGCCAGAGGAAACUCUGGUGGAGGCUCGUAGCGAUUCUGACGUGCAAAUCGAUCGUCAAAUUUGGGUAUAGGGGCGAAAGACUAAUCGA
Molecule: ribosomal RNA, 874 nt
Filed under: Leucoagaricus sp.
Lineage: Eukaryota; Fungi; Basidiomycota; Agaricomycetes; Agaricales; Agaricaceae
Description: partial large subunit ribosomal RNA
Source: RNAcentral